RNAcentral lists this ribosomal RNA (497 nucleotides) under uncultured bacterium. RNAcentral describes it as "partial 16S ribosomal RNA". It matches the Rfam family "Bacterial small subunit ribosomal RNA", at positions 28 to 507 of the family's 1533-position model. The record is from RNAcentral.
GAUGAACGCUGGCGGCGUGCCUAAUACAUGCAAGUCGAGCGAACAGACGAGGAGCUUGCUCCUCUGACGUUAGCGGCGGACGGGUGAGUAACACGUGGAUAACCUACCUAUAAGACUGGGAUAACUUCGGGAAACCGGAGCUAAUACCGGAUAAUAUAUUGAACCGCAUGGUUCAAUAGUGAAAGACGGUUUUGCUGUCACUUAUAGAUGGAUCCGCGCCGCAUUAGCUAGUUGGUAAGGUAACGGCUUACCAAGGCAACGAUGCGUAGCCGACCUGAGAGGGUGAUUGGCCACACUGGAACUGAGACACGGUCCAGACUCCUACGGGAGGCAGCAGUAGGGAAUCUUCCGCAAUGGGCGAAAGCCUGACGGAGCAACGCCGCGUGAGUGAUGAAGGCCUUCGGAUCGUAAAACUCUGUUAUUAGGGAAGAACAAAUGUGUAAGUAACUAUGCACGUCUUGACGGUACCUAAUCAGAAAGCCACGGCUAACUACGUG